GGGUCAGUAGGUUGGUCGUGCCACCGGACGUACUGGUCUCACUGAUUCCUCCUUCCUGAAGAACCGUAAUGCCAUUAAUUUGGUGUUGCGGGGAAACAGGACUGUUACUUUGAAAAAAUUAGAGUGUUUAAAGCAAGCUAACGCUUGAAUACAUUAGCAUGGAAUAAUGAAAUAGGACGAUCGAUCCUAUUUUGUUGGUUUCUAGGAUUGACGUA
This 215-nucleotide ribosomal RNA is filed under the name Glomeromycotina sp. RNAcentral describes it as "partial small subunit ribosomal RNA". The stretch from base 39 to 215 matches the Rfam family "Eukaryotic small subunit ribosomal RNA", at positions 686 to 864 of the family's 1831-position model. The record is from RNAcentral. Lineage: Eukaryota; Fungi; Glomeromycota.